This 386-nucleotide ribosomal RNA is filed under the name uncultured bacterium. RNAcentral's name for it is "bacterial SSU rRNA". It matches the Rfam family "Bacterial small subunit ribosomal RNA", at positions 28 to 412 of the family's 1533-position model. The record is from RNAcentral.
GACGAACGCUGGCGGCGUGCUUAACACAUGCAAGUCGAGCGGUAAGGCCCUUUCGGGGGUACACGAGCGGCGAACGGGUGAGUAACACGUGGGUGACCUGCCCUCAGCUCUGGGAUAAGCCUGGGAAACCGGGUCUAAUACUGGAUAUGACUCCAUGACGCAUGUUGUGGGGUGGAAAGCCUUGUGCGGCUGAGGAUGGGCCCGCGGCCUAUCAGCUUGUUGGUGGGGUGANGGCCUACCAAGGCGACGACGGGUAGCCGGCCUGAGAGGCGACCGGCCACACUGGGACUGAGACACCGGCCCAGACUCCUACGGGAGGCAGCAGGUGGGGAAUCUUGCGCAAGUGGGACGAAAGCCUGACGCAGCGACGCCGCGUGAGGGAUGAC